GACGAACGCUGGCGGCGUGCUUAACACAUGCAAGUCGAACGGAAAGGCCCUUUCGGGGGUGCUCGAGUGGCGAACGGGGUGAGUAACACGUGGGUGAUCUGCCCUGAACUUUGGGAUAAGCCUGGGAAACUGGGUCUAAUACCGGAUAUGACCAGUGGGUGCAUGCUUGCUGGUGGAAAGCCUUGUGCGGUUUGGGAUGGGCCCGCGGCCUAUCAGCUUGUUGGUGGGGUAAAUGGCCUACCAAGGCGACGACGGGUAGCCGACCUGAGAGGGUGAUCGGCCACACUGGGACUGAGACACGGCCCAGACUCCUACGGGAGGCAGCAGUGGGGAAUAUUGCACAAUGGGCGCAAGCCUGAUGCAGCGACGCCGCGUGAGGGAUGACGGCCU
RNAcentral lists this ribosomal RNA (390 nucleotides) under uncultured bacterium. RNAcentral's name for it is "bacterial SSU rRNA". It matches the Rfam family "Bacterial small subunit ribosomal RNA", at positions 28 to 417 of the family's 1533-position model. The record is from RNAcentral.